UGAAUCAUAACGUAAAUAAUCUGUGCUUUCC
This 31-nucleotide non-coding RNA is filed under the name Mus musculus (house mouse). Lineage: Eukaryota; Metazoa; Chordata; Mammalia; Rodentia; Muridae. The record is from RNAcentral.